UUGCGCAAGUCGUGCUUUGGUAGGCAAUGUUCGCAAUCCUCUGUCGGAAUCGCAGGUUUAUUCUUUUCCCAACUUCGAGGCCCGGACAUCUGGUCCACCCGGAGCGCCCAACCAGGCACUCCGGCGCCGCGCGAUCUUACCGGGUCGCGCGGCACCCGGGCUCGCAGCGCCCAACCAGGCCUGCGGGAAGACGGCGACAGCCUCGCCGGCAAUGGACGAAACCGAAACGGGAGGAAAGGUCAUGGCCUUUCCU
RNAcentral lists this small RNA (253 nucleotides) under Azotobacter chroococcum NCIMB 8003. RNAcentral's name for it is "Pseudomonas sRNA P24". It matches the Rfam family "Pseudomonas sRNA P24". Rfam says of the family: P24 is conserved across several Pseudomonas species and in Azotobacter vinelandii. It appears to be consistently located between a hypothetical protein gene and a transcriptional regulator gene (AsnC family) in the genomes of all these species. Lineage: Bacteria; Pseudomonadati; Pseudomonadota; Gammaproteobacteria; Pseudomonadales; Pseudomonadaceae. The record is from Rfam by way of RNAcentral.